RNAcentral lists this unclassified non-coding RNA (393 nucleotides) under Hevea brasiliensis (rubber tree). The record is from RNAcentral. Lineage: Eukaryota; Viridiplantae; Streptophyta; Magnoliopsida; Malpighiales; Euphorbiaceae.
UCAUUUGAGGCCAUGAAGCAAGACAUUAGGCUUAUAGAAUCAACUGGAAAAGAAAAGGAAAUGGAGAUUGUUGCACUGCACAGGAACAUUGCCUUGCUUUAUGAAGCCUGUGCCAGUCUGCUUAUGGAAAUUGAAAAUGGAAAAGCCCAAGUUGUCACAAAUAGUUUGGCUGUUCGAGAUCUGGGGUUGAAUUUGAAACCAGCAACAUUUGGUGAUGGUGGACUUCCAUUUGGCGGAGACAGUAAUUUUUCAUCUGAGGAACAUGUCAAGACUAUGGCAGAAAAACUAUUAUUGGCUAUGACAGAAUUUGCUAGCCUAAAAGGCGAGAUUAUAGAGGGUAAAGAGAAGGAAAUGAAAAUUACCAUUUCGAAUUUGCAGAAGGAGCUUCAGGAG